This 341-nucleotide unclassified non-coding RNA is filed under the name soil metagenome. Its description in RNAcentral is "partial contains 5.8S ribosomal RNA, internal transcribed spacer 2, and large subunit ribosomal RNA". The stretch from base 1 to 120 matches the Rfam family "5.8S ribosomal RNA", at positions 35 to 154 of the family's 154-position model. The record is from RNAcentral.
GAUGAAUAACGCAGCGAAAUGCGAUAAGUAGUGUGAAUUGCAGAAUUCAGUGAAUCAUCGAAUCUUUGAACGCACAUUGCGCCCUUUGGUAUUCCAAAGGGCAUGCCUGUUCGAGCGUCAUUUGUACCCUCAAGCUUUGCUUGGUGUUGGGCGUCUUGUCUCUAGCUUUGCUGGAGACUCGCCUUAAAGUAAUUGGCAGCCGGCCUACUGGUUUCGGAGCGCAGCACAAGUCGCACUCUCUAUCAGCAAAGGUCUAGCAUCCAUUAAGCCUUUUUUUCAACUUUUGACCUCGGAUCAGGUAGGGAUACCCGCUGAACUUAAGCAUAUCAAUAAGCGGAGGA